GCCGGGCGUGUUGUUGCACACCUGUAAUCCCAGCGACUCGGGAGGCUGAGGCAGGAGGAUCAGGAAUUCAAAGCCAGCCUCAGCAAAAGCGAGGCAUUAAGCAACUCAGUGAGACCCUGUCUCUA
This 125-nucleotide small RNA is filed under the name Marmota monax (woodchuck). The record is from RNAcentral. Lineage: Eukaryota; Metazoa; Chordata; Mammalia; Rodentia; Sciuridae.